RNAcentral lists this ribosomal RNA (766 nucleotides) under uncultured bacterium. RNAcentral describes it as "bacterial SSU rRNA". It matches the Rfam family "Bacterial small subunit ribosomal RNA", at positions 28 to 807 of the family's 1533-position model. The record is from RNAcentral.
GACGACCUUUGGCGGCGCGCCUAACACAUGCAAGUCGAACGAGCGAGAGAGAGCUUGCUUUCUCGAGCGAGUGGCGAACGGGUGAGUAACGCGUGAGGAACCUGCCUCAAAGAGGGGGACAACAGUUGGAAACGACUGCUAAUACCGCAUAAGCCCACGGCUCGGCAUCGAGCAGAGGGAAAAGGAGUAAUCCGCUUUGAGAUGGCCUCGCGUCCGAUUAGCUAGUUGGUGAGGUAAUGGCCCACCAAGGCGACGAUCGGUAGCCGGACUGAGAGGUUGAACGGCCACAUUGGGACUGAGACACGGCCCACACUCCUACGGGAGGCAGCAGUGGGGAAUAUUGCACAAUGGGGGAAACCCUGAUGCAGCAACGCCGCGUGGAGGAAGAAGGUCUUCGGAUUGUAAACUCCUGUUGUUGGGGAAGAUAAUGACGGUACCCAACAAGGAAGUGACGGCUAACUACGUGCCAGCAGCCGCGGUAAAACGUAGGUCACAAGCGUUGUCCGGAAUUACUGGGUGUAAAGGGAGCGCAGGCGGGAAGACAAGUUGGAAGUGAAAUCUAUGGGCUCAACCCAUAAACUGCUUUCAAAACUGUUUUUCUUGAGUAGUGCAGAGGUAGGCGGAAUUCCCGGUGUAGCGGUGGAAUGCGUAGAUAUCGGGAGGAACACCAGUGGCGAAGGCGGCCUACUGGGCACCAACUGACGCUGAGGCUCGAAAGUGUGGGUAGCAAACAGGAUUAGAUACCCUGGUAGUCCACACCGUAAAC